RNAcentral lists this long non-coding RNA (378 nucleotides) under Olea europaea (common olive). Its description in RNAcentral is "long non-coding RNA (OEUR_LNC004504)". Lineage: Eukaryota; Viridiplantae; Streptophyta; Magnoliopsida; Lamiales; Oleaceae. The record is from RNAcentral.
UCAACAAAAUAUAAAUUGAUGGCCUACCAAAACAUAACCGUUACACAUUCAUUGCUUAGUAUAGAAAAGGAGUUAGAGAAUCACCUUGUAGAGACUUUGAAAGCAAAAUUACUGGAGAAAUAUCUAGUCUUGAAUGCGAUGCAGAGGUCAGCGGAUGAAAGAGACAGUAGGAUAAAUAGAAGUGAAAUAAGUUUUGUGGAAGGAAGAAUCGGGUUGUGGUUUAUGCUGUUUGGGAGAGAGUGAAGAUUGCAGGGCGUUGGAGAGAAGGGCAGACGGAGGAGGAAGGCUAGAAUUCAAUUGGAACGAGGUGUAAAUGAUCCUCUUUUUACAGAACCAAUUUGUGAGCAGUAGACAAACCAGUUUAGGUGUGAAACAGAG